Molecule: long non-coding RNA, 5509 nt
Filed under: Salmo trutta (river trout)
Lineage: Eukaryota; Metazoa; Chordata; Actinopteri; Salmoniformes; Salmonidae
Description: lncRNA (ENSSTUG00000016378.1)
Source: RNAcentral
GUUGAUUUAAGAGCAGCUCAAACUCUUUAAAACGUUGCUCUCUUCCUGACGAUACUUAGCCUACUGGUCAGCUGCUAGAUAAGCAAAAACCACUUGGGCUAGCUAACGUCAGCUACAGUACCUUCAGAAAGUAUUCAUACCCCUUAUUCAACAUUUUGUGUUACAGCCUGAAUACAAAAUGUAUUAAAAAUAUUUUUUUUCCUCACCCAUCUACACACAAUGGCCCAUAAUCGUAUUUUUGCAAAUGUAUUGAAAAUAAAAUACAUAAAUGGCUAAUUUAGAUAAGUACUCACCCCUGAGUCAAUACAUGUUAGAUUCACCUCAAAGGCAGAGAUUACAGCUGUGAGUCUUUCUGGGUAAGUCUCUUAAGAGCUUUGCACACCUGGAUUGUAAAACGUUUGUACAUUAUUCUUUUAAAAAUUCUCCAAGCUCUAUCGAGUUGGUUGUUUAUCAUUGCCAGACAGCCAUUUUCAAGUGCUGCCAUAGAUUUUCAAGCCGAUUUAAGUCAAAACUGUAACUACGCCACUCAGGAACAUUCAAUGUCAUAUUGGUAGGGAAAUCCAGUGUAUAUUUGGCCUUGUGUUUUAGGUUAUUGUCCUGCUGAAAGGUGAAUUCAGCUCCCACUGUCUGUUAGAAAGCGGAUUGAACCAGGUUUUCUUCUAGGAUUUUGACUGUUUAGCUUUAUUCUGUUUCUUUUUGUCUUUCUUAGGGGUAGAUCAGCUGUAAUUUUGCAAACAGAUUGUGGCUUCUUUUAAUGUAAUUGUCCGUAUCAUGCCCAAUCCCCCAUAUAGUUUUUGGUAAAUAUAUAUUUUAUUUUCCUUCUUUAUUAUUUUCCCAUAACCCUAACAUCCCUCCUAAUUGGAGUAAACUAAUGGACAACAAUACAGCUUAUACAUACUAAAUACAUUUUAAGGACAAGGUACCUUUUACAUUACUGGAAAUGAUCUUAUCUUUUUUGUCCCACUCCAGCUCCCCUCAACCCCUCCCAUCUAGCUCUGAAAACCUUCCAGUCCCAGCCUUCAGCUCCCCUCAACCCCUCCCAUCUAGCUCUGAAAACCAUCCAGUCCCAGCCUUCAGCUCCCCUCAACCCCUCCCAUCUAGCUCUGAAAACCUUCCAGUCCCAGCCUUCAGCUCCCCUCAACCCCUCCCAUCUAGCUCUGAAAACCAUCCAGUCCCAGCCUUCAGCUCCCCUCAACCCCUCCCAUCUAGCUCUGAAAACCAUCCAGUCCCAGCCUUCAGCUCCCCUUAACCCCUCCCAUCUAGCUCUGAAAACCAUCCAGUCCCAGCCUUCAGCUCCCCUCAACCCCUCCCAUCUAGCUCUGAAAACCAUCCAGUCCCAGCCUUCAGCUCCCCUCAACCCCUCCCAUCUAGCUCUGAAAACCAUCCAGUCCCAGCCUUCAGCUCCCCUCAACCCCUCCCAUCUAGCUCUGAAAACCAUCCAGUCCCAGCCUUCAGCUCCCCUCAACCCCUCCCAUCUAGCUCUGAAAACCUUCCAGUCCCAGCCUUCAGCUCCCCUCAACCCCUCCCAUCUAGCUCUGAAAACCAUCCAGUCCCAGCCUUCCGCUCCCCUCAACCCCUCCCAUCUAGCUCUGAAAACCAUCCAGUCCCAGCCUUCAGCUCCCCUCAACCCCUCCCAUCUAGCUCUGAAAACCAUCCAGUCCCAGCCUUCAGCUCCCCUCAACCCCUCCCAUCUAGCUCUGAAAACCAUCCAGUCCCAGCCUUCAGCUCCCCUCAACCCCUCCCAUCUAGCUCUGAAAACCUUCCAGUCCCAGCCUUCAGCUCCCCUCAACCCCUCCCAUCUAGAUCUGAAAACCAUCCAGUCCCAGCCUUCAGCUCCCCUCAACCCCUCCCAUCUAGCUCUGAAAACCUUCCAGUCCCAGCCUUCAGCUCCCCUCAACCCCUCCCAUCUAGCUCUGAAAACCAUCCAGUCCCAGCCUUCAGCUCCCCUCAGCCCCUCCCAUCUAGCUCUGAAAACCAUCCAGUCCCAGCCUUCAGCUCCCCUCAACCCCUCCCAUCUAGAUCUGAAAACCAUCCAGUCCCAGCCUUCAGCUCCCCUUAACCCCUCCCAUCUAGCUCUGAAAACCAUCCAGUCCCAGCCUUCAGCUCCCCUCAACCCCUCCCAUCUAGCUCUGAAAACCAUCCAGUCCCAGCCUUCAGCUCCCCUCAGCCCCUCCCAUCUAGCUCUGAAAACCAUCCAGUCCCAGCCUUCAGCUCCCCUCAACCCCUCCCAUCUAGAUCUGAAAACCAUCCAGUCCCAGCCUUCAGCUCCCCUUAACCCCUCCCAUCUAGCUCUGAAAACCAUCCAGUCCCAGCCUUCAGCUCCCCUCAACCCCUCCCAUCUAGCUCUGAAAACCAUCCAGUCCCAGCCUUCAGCUCCCCUCAGCCCCUCCCAUCUAGCUCUGAAAACCAUCCAGUCCCAGCCUUCAGCUCCCCUCAGCCCCUCCCAUCUAGCUCUGAAAACCAUCCAGUCCCAGCCUUCAGCUCCCCUCAACCCCUCCCAUCUAGCUCUGAAAACCAUCCAGUCCCAGCCUUCAGCUCCCCUUAACCCCUCCCAUCUAGCUCUGAAAACCAUCCAGUCCCAGCCUUCAGCUCCCCUCAACCCCUCCCAUCUAGCUCUGAAAACCAUCCAGUCCCAGCCUUCAGCUCCCCUCAACCCCUCCCAUCUAGCUCUGAAAACCAUCCAGUCCCAGCCUUCAGCUCCCCUUAACCCCUCCCAUCUAGCUCUGAAAACUUUCCAGUCCCAGCCUUCAGCUCCCCUUAACCCCUCCCAUCUAGCUCUGAAAACCAUCCAGUCCCAGCCUUCAGCUCCCCUUAACCCCUCCCAUCUAGCUCUGAAAACCUUCCAGUCCCAGCCUUCAGCUCCCCUCAACCCCUCCCAUCUAGCUCUGAAAACCUUCCAGUCCCAGCCUUCAGCUCCCCUCAGCCCCUCCCAUCUAGCUCUGAAAACCUUCCAGUCCCAGCCUUCAGCUCCCCUCAGCCCCUCCCAUCUAGCUCUGAAAACCUUCCAGUCCCAGCCUUCAGCUCCCCUCAGCCCCUCCCAUCUAGCUCUGAAAACCUUCCAGUCCCAGCCUUCAGCUCCCCUCAACCCCUCCCAUCUAGCUCUGAAAACCAUCCAGUCCCAGCCUUCAGCUCCCCUCAACCCCUCCCAUCUAGCUCUGAAAACCUUCCAGUCCCAGCCUUCAGCUCCCCUCAACCCCUCCCAUCUAGCUCUGAAAACCAUCCAGUCCCAGCCUUCAGCUCCCCUCAACCCCUCCCAUCUAGCUCUGAAAACCUUCCAGUCCCAGCCUUCAGCUCCCCUCAACCCCUCCCAUCUAGCUCUGAAAACCAUCCAGUCCCAGCCUUCAGCUCCCCUCAACCCCUCCCAUCUAGCUCUGAAAACCAUCCAGUCCCAGCCUUCAGCUCCCCUCAACCCCUCCCAUCUAGCUCUGAAAACCAUCCAGUCCCAGCCUUCAGCUCCCCUCAACCCCUCCCAUCUAGCUCUGAAAACCAUCCAGUCCCAGCCUUCAGCUCCCCUCAACCCCUCCCAUCUAGCUCUGAAAACCAUCCAGUCCCAGCCUUCCGCUCCCCUCAACCCCUCCCAUCUAGCUCUGAAAACCAUCCAGUCCCAGCCUUCAGCUCCCCUCAACCCCUCCCAUCUAGCUCUGAAAACCAUCCAGUCCCAGCCUUCAGCUCCCCUCAACCCCUCCCAUCUAGCUCUGAAAACCAUCCAGUCCCAGCCUUCAGCUCCCCUCAACCCCUCCCAUCUAGCUCUGAAAACCUUCCAGUCCCAGCCUUCAGCUCCCCUCAACCCCUCCCAUCUAGAUCUGAAAACCAUCCAGUCCCAGCCUUCAGCUCCCCUCAACCCCUCCCAUCUAGCUCUGAAAACCUUCCAGUCCCAGCCUUCAGCUCCCCUCAACCCCUCCCAUCUAGCUCUGAAAACCAUCCAGUCCCAGCCUUCAGCUCCCCUCAGCCCCUCCCAUCUAGCUCUGAAAACCAUCCAGUCCCAGCCUUCAGCUCCCCUCAACCCCUCCCAUCUAGAUCUGAAAACCAUCCAGUCCCAGCCUUCAGCUCCCCUUAACCCCUCCCAUCUAGCUCUGAAAACCAUCCAGUCCCAGCCUUCAGCUCCCCUCAACCCCUCCCAUCUAGCUCUGAAAACCAUCCAGUCCCAGCCUUCAGCUCCCCUCAGCCCCUCCCAUCUAGCUCUGAAAACCAUCCAGUCCCAGCCUUCAGCUCCCCUCAACCCCUCCCAUCUAGAUCUGAAAACCAUCCAGUCCCAGCCUUCAGCUCCCCUUAACCCCUCCCAUCUAGCUCUGAAAACCAUCCAGUCCCAGCCUUCAGCUCCCCUCAACCCCUCCCAUCUAGCUCUGAAAACCAUCCAGUCCCAGCCUUCAGCUCCCCUCAGCCCCUCCCAUCUAGCUCUGAAAACCAUCCAGUCCCAGCCUUCAGCUCCCCUCAACCCCUCCCAUCUAGCUCUGAAAACCAUCCAGUCCCAGCCUUCAGCUCCCCUCAACCCCUCCCAUCUAGCUCUGAAAACCAUCCAGUCCCAGCCUUCAGCUCCCCUCAACCCCUCCCAUCUAGCUCUGAAAACCAUCCAGUCCCAGCCUUCAGCUCCCCUCAACCCCUCCCAUCUAGCUCUGAAAACCAUCCAGUCCCAGCCUUCAGCUCCCCUUAACCCCUCCCAUCUAGCUCUGAAAACUUUCCAGUCCCAGCCUUCAGCUCCCCUUAACCCCUCCCAUCUAGCUCUGAAAACCAUCCAGUCCCAGCCUUCAGCUCCCCUUAACCCCUCCCAUCUAGCUCUGAAAACCUUCCAGUCCCAGCCUUCAGCUCCCCUCAACCCCUCCCAUCUAGCUCUGAAAACCUUCCAGUCCCAGCCUUCAGCUCCCCUCAACCCCUCCCAUCUAGCUCUGAAAACCUUCCAGUCCCAGCCUUCAGCUCCCCUCAACCCCUCCCAUCUAGCUCUGAAAACCUUCCAGUCCCAGCCUUCAGCUCCCCUCAACCCCUCCCAUCUAGCUCUGAAAACCAUCCAGUCCCAGCCUUCAGCUCCCCUCAACCCCUCCCAUCUAGCUCUGAAAACCAUCCAGUCCCAGCCUUCAGCUCCCCUCAACCCCUCCCAUCUAGCUCUGAAAACCUUCCAGUCCCAGCCUUCAGCUCCCCUCAACCCCUCCCAUCUAGCUCUGAAAACCAUCCAGUCCCAGCCUUCAGCUCCCCUCAACCCCUCCCAUCUAGCUCUGAAAACCUUCCAGUCCCAGCCUUCAGCUCCCCUCAACCCCUCCCAUCUAGCUCUGAAAACCAUCCAGUCCCAGCCUUCAGCUCCCCUCAACCCCUCCCAUCUAGCUCUGAAAACCAUCCAGUUUUGACUUCUAAUUCCAUAUCUUUUUUAACUGUGCUGUGAUGUUUCACAAAAGUUCUGAACUUUUCUAUUCCCACAAUUCCUACAAACGGUAGACAUUAAGAGUAUUAUUAUAUUAUUGAUCAAAUUACUUUGGCUUUUCAAGUCACCCAGCAGUGCUAUUUGCAGAGUUUGCGUUAG